UACGAAGGGUGCAAGCGUUACUCGGAAUUACUGGGCGUAAAGCGUGCGUAGGUGGUGAGUUAAGUCUGUCGUGAAAGCCCCGGGCUCAACCUGGGAAUGGCGAUGGAUACUGGCUCGCUAGAGUGCGGUAGAGGAGAGUGGAAUUCCCGGUGUAGCGGUGAAAUGCGCAGAUAUCGGGAAGAACACCCGUGGCGAAGGCGACACACUGGCCCGUUACUGACGCUGAGGCGCGAAAGCGUGGGUAGCAAACAGG
RNAcentral lists this ribosomal RNA (253 nucleotides) under uncultured bacterium. RNAcentral describes it as "partial 16S ribosomal RNA". It matches the Rfam family "Bacterial small subunit ribosomal RNA", at positions 524 to 776 of the family's 1533-position model. The record is from RNAcentral.